Molecule: long non-coding RNA, 1269 nt
Filed under: Oryctolagus cuniculus (rabbit)
Lineage: Eukaryota; Metazoa; Chordata; Mammalia; Lagomorpha; Leporidae
Description: lncRNA (ENSOCUG00000032674.1)
Source: RNAcentral
AUGGAUACAAAGAAUCUUCAAGGGGUUCACAUAAAAUGUGCAUUUGAAAAAAAAAUGCACACAUUUCAGAACUUCUGUCGCGAGAAGAAUUUGUCUUCAGAUUGCGUUUCUCCAGGAAUCCUUGCAAGUGCCCUGACUCCUCCUCCGCCUUCCGGCCGGUGGGACCCAAAUCCCCCAGAGCCCCCAGCAUCAGUCUCUCUUGCUCCAGGACAUGGAGGGAACGCUGAGCGCGUGGACUGCGUGGCCGCCUGCAGCCCAGACACAGCAGGGGGGCGGGGGUGCAGGUGUCCUGAGGAGCAGCUGACCUUGUCCUUGCCCGAGUCGCCCCCAGCAGCUUCCCGGGCCUACUGCGCAGCUGACGGGCAGGCAGGGGCGGGGAGGAGAGGCCGGGAGGGGCUGGGUGGUGCCUGGGGCAGAGGUCCCCUCCGAGCCCCCCGCCGUGCCUGCAGCUGCUCCACUGAGAAUUCUAGACUCACGCCCACCCUGCGAGCCCAGCCAGCUGGGGCGCCCCCUCUGAGCCGGCAGCCAGAGGGCUCGCCUUUGCCUCGGAGCUGCGGGGUCUCCAGAGCAGGGCCCUCCCUGGGCCUGCCCUUCCUGGCCGCCUGUGCCGGCCGCCUGGCCCCGCUGUCGCAGGCUCCCCCCACCCCCACCCUGCCCCGCAGGCCACACCAUGAGUCACGAGGCAGAGUUUCCAUUAGCGUCAGUCGGACGUGGAUGUUGGACCUGGAGCCAGUGGGAGCGCGAGGGAAGAAGCUGCUUUCGGCAAACUCACACGCCUGGGGUCAGAGCCCUGAGAUGCCCAGGGCCCCUGCAGGGCUGGCAGAGCCCCUGUGCCAGUGCCCGCUCCCUCCUCGCUCCCUCCAUCUCAUUCCCUCUCCUCCCCACUCCCUCAUCCCCUCUCUCCCCCUCUGUCCCUCCCUCCUGUCUCUCUCCCCCUCUGUCCCUCCCUCCUACUCUGUCUCUCCCUCCUGUCUCCCUCCCCCUCUGUCCCUCCCUCCUGUCUCUCCCUCCCCCUCUGUCUCUCCCUCCUGUCUCUCUCCCCCUCUGUUUCUCCCUCCUGUCUCCCUCCCCCUCUGUCUCUCCCUCCUGUCUCUCUCCCUCCCCCUCUGUCCCUCCCUCCUGUCUAUCUCCCCCUCUGUCUCUCCCUCCUGUCUCCCUCCCCCUCUGUCCCUCCCUCUUGUCUCUCUCUCCCCCUCUGUUUCUCCCUCCUGUCUCUCUCUCUCCCUCUCUGAGUUCCCCCUGGAGGUGGAGACAGGGGAGCCCUCAUGA